Long non-coding RNA from Pocillopora damicornis (cauliflower coral), 762 nucleotides. The record is from RefSeq and is a predicted model, not a curated record. Lineage: Eukaryota; Metazoa; Cnidaria; Anthozoa; Scleractinia; Pocilloporidae.
UCCAAGGUUUACUGAUAUUUCUUUGUCACUUUGUAGAUGGGUGCAAGUGGCUUGUCCACGAUUGUCCAUUGACUGUGGCUACGCUUUUCCUAAACCUCUACUUACCUCUGUCGCCUCAUGAGGCGUCAGUUGUGCUUGAACAAAUCGAAUGGCAAGAAAAUUACCCAAUGGAUUUUUACGCAAACGCUAGUUUGGGACCCUGGACUGUGAAUAAUGAGCGGAACAGACAAAUACCGGUUAGCAGAAGAAAAAAGAACUUACACACAGAAAAGCUAUCUGCGGAAAACGCUCCAUCAAACCUAAAAGGCAAAGAAGGAUGUGAUGGACAAACUUAAGGAGUGUUGUGGGAAAUGCCAUCAAGAGAAGCUACUUUAGUUACAAGAUGAUCUGAACAAAUGUCUACAGUAAUACAAAGAGUGCUUCGAGCGAAAACAGUCGCCUUGGAACAAAAGAAAUACAGGAAACAGAAGGCUCCUACCUCUUCUUUCACUUGACUGGAACAGAGAGGUUUGCGAUCGAUCAUCGUGAAACCAAACUCACGUCGGCCAAUCUAAAAUGGAAAAUAUCACGAGAAGUAAACGAGCAGUGAAAAUGGGUUCAGCGCGAGAAAACAAGAAUGUUUAAACUGUGAUUAGUUAAAACAAUCAGCGAGCGAAUUGAAGCACAACCAGGAACGCCAAGUAAAUGUCAACAGCCUACUUAACAUUAAUGUGACUGAGUUCACAAGCAGGCGAAUCGCAAAUAAAAUCAAUCAAACUGAUA